AGACCGCUCAGCUCUCACUCUGAGGAGGUUACGGUCAGCAGGUCACUGAAUGAGCAGUUAAGUGGUGGUGGAACCAGGCCUCACAAUGUCUACUACACACUUACUGUCCAAAACCACCAGGGAACCUACAUGUGUCUUCAGAGUGUUUAUAUGCAAUGUUGUAGACCUCCAAACUUCAUGUGGCCUUCCGAUUAGCUCAAGAACAGCACAGAGAGCUUCAUGGAAUGGGUUUUCAUGGCCAAGCAGCUGCAUCCAAGCCUUAC
Pygocentrus nattereri (red-bellied piranha) is the source of this 263-nucleotide long non-coding RNA. The record is from Ensembl. NCBI's taxonomy places the organism in Eukaryota, Metazoa, Chordata, Actinopteri, Characiformes, Serrasalmidae.